UUUUMCCGCAUAWGACUGGGAAAAGGCAUCUUUUGGAAGUCAAAGAUUUAUUGCUGAAGGAUGGGCUCAUGUCUGAUUAGCUAGUUGGUGAGGUAACGGCUCACCAAGGCGACGAUCAGUAGCCGGUCUGAGAGGAUGAACGGCCACAUUGGGACUGAGAUACGGCCCAGACUCCUACGGGAGGCAGCAGUGGGGAAUAUUGGGCAAUGGGCGAAAGCCUGACCCAGCAAUGCCGCGUGAAGGAAGAAGGCCUUCGGGUUGUAAACUUCUUUUACCGAGGACGAACAAAUGACGGUACUCGGCGAAUAAGCUCCGGCUAACUACGUGCCAGCAGCCGCGGUAAUACGUAGGGAGCAAGCGUUAUCCGGAUUUACUGGGUGUAAAGGGCGCGUAGGCGGGAUGGCAAGUCAGAUGUGAAAUCUCAGGGCUCAACCCUGAAACUGCAUUUGAAACUGUCGUUCUUGAGUACUGGAGAGGUUGACGGAAUUCCUAGUGUAGCGGUGAAAUGCGUAGAUAUUAGGAGGAACACCAGUGGCGAAGGCGGUCAACUGGACAGAAACUGACGCUGAGGCGCGAAAGCGUGGGGAGCAAACAGGAUUAGAUACCCUGGUAGUCCACGCUGUAAACGAUGAAUACUAGGUGUGGGAGGACUGACCCCUUCCGUGCCGCAGUUAACACAAUAAGUAUUCCACCUGGGGAGUACGGCCGCAAGGUUGAAACUCAAAGGAAUUGACGGGGGCCCGCACAAGCAGUGGAUUAUGUGGUUUAAUUCGAAGCAACGCGAAGAACCUUACCAGGGUUUGACAUCCCGGUGACCGUCUUAGAGAUAAGAUUUCCCUUCGGGGCACCGGUGACAGGUGGUGCAUGGUUGUCGUCAGCUCGUGUCGUGAGAUGUUGGGUUAAGUCCCGCAACGAGCGCAACCCUUAUUGAUAGUUGCUACGCAAGAGCACUCUAUCGAGACUGCCGUUGACAAAACGGAGGAAGGUGGGGACGACGUCAAAUCAUCAUGCCCCUUAUAUCCUGGGCUACACACGUAAUACAAUGGCACUUAACAAAGGGAAGCAAAACCGCGAGGUGGAGCAAAUCCUCAAAAAGUGU
RNAcentral lists this ribosomal RNA (1099 nucleotides) under uncultured bacterium. RNAcentral describes it as "bacterial SSU rRNA". It matches the Rfam family "Bacterial small subunit ribosomal RNA", at positions 164 to 1286 of the family's 1533-position model. The record is from RNAcentral.